AUACGUAGGGGGCGAGCGUUGUCCGGAAUUACUGGGCGUAAAGGGUGCGUAGGUGGCACUUUAAGUUGGAUGUGAAAUCCCCGUGCUUAACAUGGGAGCUGCAUCCAAUACUGGAGAGCUAGAGUGCAGGAGAGGUAAGCGGAAUUCCUAGUGUAGCGGUGAAAUGCGUAGAUAUUAGGAGGAACACCAGUGGCGAAGGCGGCUUACUGGACUGUAACUGACACUGAGGCACGAAAGCGUGGGGAGCAAACAGGAUUAGAUACCCUGGCAGUCCACGCUGUAAACGAUGAAUACUAGGUGUAGGGGGUAUCAACUCCCUCUGUGCCGCAGCAAACGCAAUAAGUAUUCCGCCUGGGGAGUACGGCCGCAAGGCUAAAACUCAAAUGAAUUGACGGGG
This 397-nucleotide ribosomal RNA is filed under the name uncultured bacterium. Its description in RNAcentral is "partial 16S ribosomal RNA". It matches the Rfam family "Bacterial small subunit ribosomal RNA", at positions 523 to 918 of the family's 1533-position model. The record is from RNAcentral.